RNAcentral lists this ribosomal RNA (2051 nucleotides) under Salmonella enterica. RNAcentral's name for it is "partial 23S ribosomal RNA". It matches the Rfam family "Bacterial large subunit ribosomal RNA", at positions 911 to 2925 of the family's 2925-position model. The record is from RNAcentral. Lineage: Bacteria; Pseudomonadati; Pseudomonadota; Gammaproteobacteria; Enterobacterales; Enterobacteriaceae.
UGUUUCGGCUAGGGGGCCAUCCCGGCUUACCAACCCGAUGCAAACUGCGAAUACCGGAGAAUGUUAUCACGGGAGACACACGGCGGGUGCUAACGUCCGUCGUGAAGAGGGAAACAACCCAGACCGCCAGCUAAGGUCCCAAAGUCAUGGUUAAGUGGGAAACGAUGUGGGAAGGCCCAGACAGCCAGGAUGUUGGCUUAGAAGCAGCCAUCAUUUAAAGAAAGCGUAAUAGCUCACUGGUCGAGUCGGCCUGCGCGGAAGAUGUAACGGGGCUAAACCAUGCACCGAAGCUGCGGCAGCGACACUCAGGUGUUGUUGGGUAGGGGAGCGUUCUGUAAGCCUGCGAAGGUGGCCUGUGAGGGUUGCUGGAGGUAUCAGAAGUGCGAAUGCUGACAUAAGUAACGAUAAAGCGGGUGAAAAGCCCGCUCGCCGGAAGACCAAGGGUUCCUGUCCAACGUUAAUCGGGGCAGGGUGAGUCGACCCCUAAGGCGAGGCCGAAAGGCGUAGUCGAUGGGAAACGGGUUAAUAUUCCCGUACUUGGUGUUACUGCGAAGGGGGGACGGAGAAGGCUAUGUUGGCCGGGCGACGGUUGUCCCGGUUUAAGCGUGUAGGUGUGUGUUCCAGGUAAAUCCGGUUCACUUUAACACUGAGGCGUGAUGACGAGGCACUACGGUGCUGAAGCAACAAAUGCCCUGCUUCCAGGAAAAGCCUCUAAGCAUCAGGUAACAUCAAAUCGUACCCCAAACCGACACAGGUGGUCAGGUAGAGAAUACCAAGGCGCUUGAGAGAACUCGGGUGAAGGAACUAGGCAAAAUGGUGCCGUAACUUCGGGAGAAGGCACGCUGACACGUAGGUGAAGUGAUUUACUCAUGGAGCUGAAGUCAGUCGAAGAUACCAGCUGGCUGCAACUGUUUAUUAAAAACACAGCACUGUGCAAACACGAAAGUGGACGUAUACGGUGUGACGCCUGCCCGGUGCCGGAAGGUUAAUUGAUGGGGUCAGCGCAAGCGAAGCUCCUGAUCGAAGCCCCGGUAAACGGCGGCCGUAACUAUAACGGUCCUAAGGUAGCGAAAUUCCUUGUCGGGUAAGUUCCGACCUGCACGAAUGGCGUAAUGAUGGCCAGGCUGUCUCCACCCGAGACUCAGUGAAAUUGAACUCGCUGUGAAGAUGCAGUGUACCCGCGGCAAGACGGAAAGACCCCGUGAACCUUUACUAUAGCUUGACACUGAACAUUGAGCCUUGAUGUGUAGGAUAGGUGGGAGGCUUUGAAGUGUGGACGCCAGUCUGCAUGGAGCCGGCCUUGAAAUACCACCCUUUAAUGUUUGAUGUUCUAACGUGGACCCGUGAUCCGGGUUGCGGACAGUGUCUGGUGGGUAGUUUGACUGGGGCGGUCUCCUCCUAAAGAGUAACGGAGGAGCACGAAGGUUGGCUAAUCCUGGUCGGACAUCAGGAGGUUAGUGCAAUGGCAUAAGCCAGCUUGACUGCGAGCGUGACGGCGCGAGCAGGUGCGAAAGCAGGUCAUAGUGAUCCGGUGGUUCUGAAUGGAAGGGCCAUCGCUCAACGGAUAAAAGGUACUCCGGGGAUAACAGGCUGAUACCGCCCAAGAGUUCAUAUCGACGGCGGUGUUUGGCACCUCGAUGUCGGCUCAUCACAUCCUGGGGCUGAAGUAGGUCCCAAGGGUAUGGCUGUUCGCCAUUUAAAGUGGUACGCGAGCUGGGUUUAGAACGUCGUGAGACAGUUCGGUCCCUAUCUGCCGUGGGCGCUGGAGAACUGAGGGGGGCUGCUCCUAGUACGAGAGGACCGGAGUGGACGCAUCACUGGUGUUCGGGUUGUCAUGCCAAUGGCACUGCCCGGUAGCUAAAUGCGGAAGAGAUAAGUGCUGAAAGCAUCUAAGCACGAAACUUGCCCCGAGAUGAGUUCUCCCUGAGACUUUAGGUCUCCUGAAGGAACGUUGAAGACGACGACGUUGAUAGGCCGGGUGUGUAAGCGCAGCGAUGCGUUGAGCUAACCGGUACUAAUGAACCGUGAGGCUUAACCUUACAACGCCGAAG